RNAcentral lists this ribosomal RNA (403 nucleotides) under uncultured bacterium. Its description in RNAcentral is "partial 16S ribosomal RNA". It matches the Rfam family "Bacterial small subunit ribosomal RNA", at positions 338 to 755 of the family's 1533-position model. The record is from RNAcentral.
CCUACGGGGGGCAGCAGUGGGGAAUAGUGGGCAAUGGGCGCAAGCCUGACCCAGCAACGCCGCGUGAAGGAAGAAGGCUUUCGGGUUGUAAACUUCUUUUCUCAGGGACGAAGAAAGAGACGGUACCUGAGGAAUAAGCCACGGCUAACUACGGGCCAGCAGCCGCGGAAAUACGUAGGUGGCAAGCGUUAUCCGGAUUUAUUGGGUGUAAAGGGCGUGUAGGCGGGAGCGCAAGUCAGAUGUGAAAACUCAGGGCUCAACCCUGAGCCGGCAUUUGAAACUGUGUUUCUUGAGUGCUGGAGAGGCAAUCGGAAUUCCGUGUGUAGCGGUGAAAUGCGUAGCUCUACGGCGGAACACCAGUGGCGAAGGCGGCUUGCUGGACAGUACCUGACGCUGAGGCGCG